This 3787-nucleotide long non-coding RNA is filed under the name Mus musculus (house mouse). Its description in RNAcentral is "long non-coding RNA chr11:60444289-60448076". The record is from RNAcentral. Lineage: Eukaryota; Metazoa; Chordata; Mammalia; Rodentia; Muridae.
UUUUUUUUUUUUUUUUUUUCUUAGCUAGGGAAGUGUUCCAGCUCUACUUAGAAAGAUGAGGGAAGGAUGCCUUUAGCAGACAGACUUCAGACCUACCUGAAGACUUGCUGCUUAGAAGUCUGCCCCUGAACACUGGGCAGGAAUAAACAUGUUCCACUUCUUAGUAACUCCUAGCUGGUGGACAGUGACUUCUUUUCCUUUUCUGUCCCUGGAGGACCUCUGGGACUUGUCUCCAUUGGUAGCUCUUUAACCAGCUGCUCAGUGGCUUGCAUGCCUCUGGUCCUGUGUGCAAUAUCUUUGCCUGGCACUUGUAUCUAACAUUGAAAAAUAGGUGCAGACUGCAAAUGUCCUACUGUUCUCUACUCCAACGAGCCAACCCCCAGGCAGGGACUAGAGGUCUGGCUGCUCUUCUCUUACCCUCCACUCAGAAGGCUCCACUGCUGUGGCCAGCUGUGGCCCUCUCGUUCCCUGCUUUACCAGUCUACCCACCUAUCUCCUUUAAGAUGGCCUAGCAUGUCAGCUGCAGUCCAAAAGUAAGUAGACAAAGCCUCAUGUUAAGUAGACAGUCAGGGUGGACUGGCCCUGUUAGCAGUGUUGGAGUCAGAUUCCAGUGGAACAAAGGGGUUUCUCAAUGUCUUUUGCUUUCAGAAGCAGGGAAUUCAUAUUCCCUUUAAGGCCUUGAAUGGAUUUUUUUUCCUCAUAAAAUAGUCACUGAUAAGCUAAUUUUUAAAAAGAAAUGCCAUUACGUAUGUUACAUUGUGGUUUAAAAUUACUAACAAGUUCUGGGAAAGAAAAUACUUGAUUUUGAAUCUUAAAUGUUUUUUAAAAAUUAGAUUUGAAUGGGCGCAAAGUACAAAUAUUUUGUUUCUUUAUGGAAGACCUGUGGAAAGGGUUUGAAGAUUUGCAAUGGGAGAAUUAUUUUGCAGAGCUAUCAAUGUCUAAAUAAUUUUUGAAAAAAAAAAACCAAUAAAGGUAUUUAAGCAGUGUGUGUCCAAUUUGUAAGUCAAAACAUUCCACUAGGAGAAAUCUGUUCCUUUGUGACUGGAGCAGGAACCAGCAGGUCAAGCCUAGGUUUAAUCAGGUGAAUGGCUGGGCCGUGUGCUGCUUCAGCAGCAGGUGUACUGAGCCAAGUUGAGGAGUCGCAGCUAUCAGAUCGGUAUGGAUGCCACAGUGUUGGGUGUGGGUCAGGUGAGGGAAAACACCCUUUCUUCCAUCUAGCGUAGCUUAUAAGUUCUUGCCUUGAUUUCUCUCAUAGAUUUGGUGGUAUGUAUGAGUGUUUUGCCUGCAUUGUGUCUGUAUACUAUGUAGUCCCUAGUGUCCACAGACACCAGAAGAGGGUUUUUGGAUUCCUCUCAAAAUGGAAUCUCCUUUCACUGGUGGUUGUGAAAGGCCAUGUAGGUGCUGGCAAUCAAACCUGGGGUCUCUACAAGUGCAAGUACUUUUAACUGCUAAGCAGUCUUUCCAAACCCCUCAUAAAUCUCUCAUAUGCCUGUAUGCCACUACCAUUUGAAUUCUCCCCAGUAAACUUACAGGGUGGCUUCUAUAAUAAGUUUUAUUCCCAGGAAUAUCUCAUUAAUCUGUGCCAGAGAGGUGGUGCUGUUUUGGGGUCCACUUAAAGGCUGCAGUCCUCCCUCAUAAAAGAGUCAAAAGCUUCUUGUAAAAUUAUUUUCUAGGGUUCUACCCAGCCUAAAAAUUGUUUUAUAUGGUGGGAGUAACUUGGAAUAAUGUCUUUACAGACUGAGGUGCCUGGCAGUGCUCAGCCAGCCACUCUACCUUUUGUCUUCUUUCCAUUUUGUUAGAAAUGAACUUCCUAGCUGGGCAAUGGUGGCGCAUGCCUUGAAUCCCAGCACUUGGGAGGCAGAGGCAGGCAGAUUUCUGAGUUCAAGGUCAGCCUGGUCUACAGAGUGAGUUCCAGGACAGCCAGGGCUACACAGAGAAAUCCUGUCUGGAAAGACAAACAAACAAAAGUAAUGAACUUCCUUAGAAAUCUGGAAGGAAUUUCUUGGCACACCAGUAUUGAGAUGGCAAGAGAUGAGCCAUUAUGUGAUGGUGUUGGUGUUAGGCCAGCUGAUAGAAUCGAGCACGAAUUCCCUUCACAGCACGAAGGGAAUCUCAUAGCCCUAAAGCCUGGGUGCUUGGGCUGAUUGCAGGCCUGUCCUAGUGUGCUGAACUGGGUGUAAGCAGCAGGCUGUGGGCCUGUCACACCCCACCUCAGUCUGUAAGUUAAGGACACUCAGUCUUAUCCCAUUAGGCUGUGUCAAGGGCUUCUGCCAGAACAUUGGAGUUCCUGGGAAAUGGUCUCAAAUGUUGAAGAGACUUUAAAUUUAAACUGGAGUGCCAAAGAAAUACAUCCUUGGUCAGCCUGGGCCACAAAAUAAGAUCCCCUUCUCUAAAAUAAAGUUAUAGAAAAUAUUUCCUGGGUUUCUGGGUGCCAGGGUCUGCACUGAAAGAAGGCAGAAGUUGAGUCCGAGUCAGUGCUAUUUGUGUGUCUCGGUAACAUUUGCCAGUCACCCAUUGCAGAAGCAGUUUUUUUAGAAAAUUGGUAACAGAUGAAAAGGUUUCAGAGAAUUGGGUCAUUGACAGCAGUGUCGUUUCUGACUGGAAUUCGAGCUGCCUAAGUAAUCAUGGCAUGAGCACAACCCGUAAGACAUUACAAGAGAAGACUUUGCCACAUUCGAUUAUAUACUAUAUAGGGGUGAAAGCAGUCUGAGAGAUCUGAAUAGAAAAAGGAAUCAAGUUAAAAACUGCAAAGCUAAAGUUGAGCUACUUGGGAGCCAUGAGCCACAGAAACAACUCAUUAUUGAAGUUCCCUAUUAUGGCAACGACUCUGACUUUGAGGUGCUGUACCAGCAAUGCCUUAGGUGCUACAAGGCCUUCCUGGAGAAUAUUCACUAGCUGGUCCUACCCACCAGCCACUAUUGCGCAAAUCACACUGCUAUGCACACAGGUGGUGGCAGUCCUUAGCCCCUUACCCCAUCUGUCUUUUCAGCUGACUUACUGUAUAUCUUUAAAAUAAUUGUAGGUGGAAAUUAGGUAUAUGUUCAGAAGGAUAAAAACACUUGAGUCAGACAGUUUGAAGUGUGGCUAAGCAUUCUUAGACUAACUAAAUACAUCUGACUUUACUGUAAUUACAAAGUAGUGGAAUUAGCAAAUUUGGAACAAAAUAAAAACACAAUAUAGUAAGAAUGAAGAAGGUCCAGGUCAGCCUCUGAGCCCAGCAAGCCUGGGUAGUCUCGUCUAUCCUGAGUAUGUGCAUGGCCAGCAGCCAGUGUGCCGUUUGCUUGCCUUAUGCCUCUCUAUUCUAGACUCUUAUUAUGACAAUAUCACCAUCCACAGCAGCCUUCCAUUUAACAUUGAAAGAGUUUGAGCUCAGACACGCCGAGAGUAUUCAGGUAUUUGAGAGAGGAGAAGCCAGAUGUAAUGAUGGGCCUGAGACUCCAGCAGGCCGUCCUGGGCUGGACAGGGACAUUCUGUCUAAAAUGUGAACAAAAAUAACAACGGAUGGGAGCAACAGAUUGAUGCAAUUAACAUUUUCAGUCUUACUUGGUUUUUUGUCUAGAUUUUUUAGUGUUGUUUCUAUUUGAGCUACUUUGCCUUUAAAAAAAAAAAAAGGAAGAAGCUGGGCGUGGUUGCACACACCUUUAAUCCCAGCACUUGGGAGGCAGAGGCAGGCGGAUUUCUGAGUUCUAGGCCAGCCUGGUCUACAAAGUGAGUUCCAGGACAGCCAGGGCUAUACAAAGAAACCUUGUCUCGAAAAACCGAAAGGAAGGAAGGAAGGAAGGGAAGG